UCAGGCUCACUCCUGGGAACUGUAGUGGGCAUCACCCUCCCCCCUAGUCUCCUGGUAUGUGGAAACCUGGGGGAUACCUGUUGGGGGGGGAGAAGGCAAAGCAAGACGCUGGGUAGGACACCAGCAGCACCUGCAACAGCUAAUAGGAAACACAGACUAACACUGAACUUCUGUGUGGAACAGAACGGGUGGUCUCUGGAGCACAUCUCUCUACUCACUGAACAAAUGGCAUUUCUUACUAUAGCACUGCAACCUUUCCAUAGAAGACACAACACUUGGAUUCUACUUUACGUUCGUGGUGUCACUCAAGUUCCACGCUUUCUCAGUCCUGGCACAUACAUUUGAUAUUCGCCCAUCCUAUUUCAUUGUUAUUUCCAGCGGCAUAAGGAUGCGACAGAGAGCUUUGGCAAAUGUCAAGCUCUUCUGGAAACGUCACCUCGAAAGAUUGACCUGGUGGCAUCCUAGGAAAGGAGUGACCUGUGUCGGUCCCCAGCCUAAUAACUUUGCUUGUGAUAGUUGCAACCAUAUCUGCAAGGUCUUUCUGUUUUGGUCACAGAGGCCCGAAAGAAAACAGGCUCAAACUCCUCUCUGUGUUGUUGGAAGAAAUCUAGACUCUUAAUACCUUUACACCAUCAAUCUGGACUCUGCAUCCUGUCACUGAGGUUGGAGACAUGUUGAGAUCUGGG
Long non-coding RNA from Canis lupus familiaris (dog), 686 nucleotides. RefSeq lists it as uncharacterized. The transcript is spliced from 3 exons. The record is from RefSeq and is a predicted model, not a curated record. Lineage: Eukaryota; Metazoa; Chordata; Mammalia; Carnivora; Canidae.